RNAcentral lists this ribosomal RNA (502 nucleotides) under Phoma herbarum. RNAcentral's name for it is "eukaryotic LSU rRNA". The stretch from base 144 to 297 matches the Rfam family "5.8S ribosomal RNA". The record is from RNAcentral. Lineage: Eukaryota; Fungi; Ascomycota; Dothideomycetes; Pleosporales; Didymellaceae.
AUAAACUAGGGUUAGUGGGCUUUGCCCACUGUCUCUUACCCAUGUCUUUUGAGUACUUACGUUUCCUCGGUGGGCUCGCCCGCCGGUUGGACAAUUUAAACCAUUUGCAGUUGCAAUCAGCGUCUGAAAAACAUAAUAGUUACAACUUUCAACAACGGAUCUCUUGGUUCUGGCAUCGAUGAAGAACGCAGCGAAAUGCGAUAAGUAGUGUGAAUUGCAGAAUUCAGUGAAUCAUCGAAUCUUUGAACGCACAUUGCGCCCCUUGGUAUUCCAUGGGGCAUGCCUGUUCGAGCGUCAUUUGUACCUUCAAGCUCUGCUUGGUGUUGGGUGUUUGUCUCGCCUUGCGCGUAGACUCGCCUUAAAACAAUUGGCAGCCGGCGUAUUGAUUUCGGAGCGCAGUACAUCUCGCGCUUUGCACUCAUAACGACGACGUCCAAAAGUACUUUUUACACUCUUGACCUCGGAUCAGGUAGGGAUACCCGCUGAACUUAAGCAUAUCAAA